UGGUGGCAUGUUUUGUCUGGUUAAUGCCGCGCGCGAACGAGACCUUAGCUUACUAAAUAGGUGCACGUAAUAUUUGCUAUGUGGGCAUAUUAUGCGGAAGACUGUGUGUGUUCAAUGCAGGGAGGUUUGAGGCAGCAGCG
This 140-nucleotide ribosomal RNA is filed under the name uncultured eukaryote. Its description in RNAcentral is "partial 18S ribosomal RNA". The record is from RNAcentral.